Ursus americanus (American black bear) is the source of this 165-nucleotide small nuclear RNA. Its record names the gene U2. It matches the Rfam family "U2 spliceosomal RNA". From Rfam's summary of the family: U2 is a small nuclear RNA (snRNA) component of the spliceosome (involved in pre-mRNA splicing). Complementary binding between U2 snRNA (in an area lying towards the 5' end but 3' to hairpin I) and the branchpoint sequence (BPS) of the intron results the bulging out of an unpaired adenosine, on the BPS, which initiates a nucleophilic attack at the intronic 5' splice site, thus starting the first of two transesterification reactions that mediate splicing. Lineage: Eukaryota; Metazoa; Chordata; Mammalia; Carnivora; Ursidae. The record is from Ensembl.
ACUGCUUCUCGGCCUUUUGGCUAAGAUCAAAUGUAGUAUCUGUUCUUAUCAGCUUAAUAUCUACUACAUCCUCUGUCUAAGACUAGGAGCUAAAUCCUAGGAUUAAGAGAAAAAUAGCCUUGCUAUAAGAGAGCCUGAAUGAAGUCUCCAUAGGAACAAAGUCAU